This is a non-coding RNA of Dipodomys ordii (Ord's kangaroo rat), 74 nucleotides long. The record is from Rfam. NCBI's taxonomy places the organism in Eukaryota, Metazoa, Chordata, Mammalia, Rodentia, Heteromyidae.
GGGAAGGUGGCUCAGUGGUAGAGCGCUUGCCUUGCAUGCAUGAGGCCCUGGGGUUCGAUUCCUCAGCAACCCCU